CUGAGGACCUGGGGGAUCAGGACAAGGCCAAACAAAUCCAAGAUCAACUGAAUGAGCUGGAGGAACGGGCAGAGGCCCUGGACCGCCAGCGGACCAAGAACAUAUCCGCUAUCAGUUACAUCAACCAGCGGAACCGGGAGUGGAACAUUGUAGAGUCUGAGAAGGCCCUUGUGGCUGAAAGUCACAACAUGAAAAACCAACAGAUGGAUCCCUUUACUCGGCGGCAGUGCAAGCCUACCAUCGUUUCUAAUGUGAGUGCUGAAAGAGG
Molecule: long non-coding RNA, 268 nt
Filed under: Pan troglodytes (chimpanzee)
Lineage: Eukaryota; Metazoa; Chordata; Mammalia; Primates; Hominidae
Description: long non-coding RNA NONPTRT005304
Source: RNAcentral